GGCACAGUGGAAGACGAAGAUGAACAUGCCCUGGAAGGCGUUGAAGGUGGUGAAGAGAUAGGCCAUGACGAUGGACUCCUUGUUGAUGAAGAGGAGGCCGAAGGCCCAGCACCUCUGGACUCACCACGAUAAUGAAGGAGACGGGGCCGAUGAAGCUCCAGAUGAAAUUGGAAAAGGAAAACAAACUCUCCCACAUUUUCAACUCCCAGUUGGGUUUUCAACUUUGAAUGAACUAAGCUGAACUCGUUGGAUAAAAUGCAAAGAAGGACACAGAUAAGGCUACUGCUGUCAUGAGCUGGUUUAGUUCUUCAACAAACUCCAGUUCCAAAUGCUGAACCAGUGACU
Long non-coding RNA from Mauremys mutica (yellowpond turtle), 345 nucleotides. RefSeq lists it as uncharacterized. The record is from RefSeq and is a predicted model, not a curated record. NCBI's taxonomy places the organism in Eukaryota, Metazoa, Chordata, Testudines, Geoemydidae. The transcript is spliced from 3 exons.